Molecule: long non-coding RNA, 289 nt
Filed under: Mytilus galloprovincialis (Mediterranean mussel)
Lineage: Eukaryota; Metazoa; Mollusca; Bivalvia; Mytilida; Mytilidae
Source: RNAcentral
AGAAAUUUUACUUAGAUGAUGAUGUGUGUGCGAUCAUGGUUUGCUACCUAGACAAUUUGAAAUCUUUCCGAACUUUUAAUAAACUCAAAGACAUUUUUGAAAAUGGUUUGGUUUUGCUCUAGAGAAAGAAGACAACUACCCGAGGUAAGUAGUUCUAUGUUAAUUUUACAAUCAUUUGGAAGCCAGCGCAGACUUUCAAACAUUUUAUUUCGUAUGUCUGAAUAUAAUAUACAUUUAAAAAAGAAAUGAUAGGAAUCUUCACGAUUAACACCACAGCGGCAAGAAGGGU